This 404-nucleotide ribosomal RNA is filed under the name uncultured prokaryote. RNAcentral's name for it is "partial 16S ribosomal RNA". The record is from RNAcentral.
CCCUAUGGGGUGCACCAGGCCAGAAUCGUGGAGGACAACAAGGCGGCAAUUGCGACGGCGGUGGAAUCAGCAACGGCCAAUAUAAAAGAUUCCACGGCAAGGGCGGAGUUUCUCAAGCGGGCCGCGCUCAUGGCUCAAUAAACCGACAUCAGGAGAAUCAUGAAUGGUGACGAAACACCAACAAACACUUCCCGAAUGUGACCGUCGCAUGGACGCGAUUGAGGGGAGUGUCGCAUCUGAGUUGCGGCAUAUCGGGGAGAGAAUGGCCGCGCUGGAAUCGGGUCUCACGGGCCGCAUAACAGAAACGAGGAAGUGGAUCGAAUCAGUGGCCAAAAAGAUCGAGGGGAACGGAACUGAGGGGAUGGCCUCCCGUCUAUCGAGGGUUGAGGAAUUGGCGGGGGAGC